This 1690-nucleotide ribosomal RNA is filed under the name Poropanchax normani. Its description in RNAcentral is "16S ribosomal RNA". It matches the Rfam family "Bacterial large subunit ribosomal RNA". The record is from RNAcentral. Lineage: Eukaryota; Metazoa; Chordata; Actinopteri; Cyprinodontiformes; Procatopodidae.
UGCCUAACAGCUAGCUACUGCAUCAUAACUUCAAACCGACAAUUUUUUUACCCCCUAAUAUACUUUUUUCCUCCCCUAAAUCAUUCUCCCCCCUAAGUAAAGGCGAUAGAAAAGGACAAACGUAAGCUAUAGAACAAGUACCGCAAGGGAACGCUGAAAGAGAAGUGAAACAACUCAGUAAAGCACAAAGAAGCAGAGACUAAUUCUCGUACCUUUUGCAUCAUGAUUUAGCAAGUCUAAUCAAGCAAAAAGUUUUUUAGUUUGAAUCCCCGAAACUAAACGAGCUACUCCAAGACAGCCUAAUAAGAGGGCAACCCCGUCUCUGUGGCAAAAGAGUGGGAAGAGCUUUGAGUAGAGGUGACAGACCUACCGAGUUUAGUAAUAGCUGGUUGCCUGAGAAAUAAAUAGAAGUUUAGCCUCUAAAUUUCUUAUCCCAACUAAGGUCCCCCUAAAUAAGAUCUAGAGAAAGCUAGAGAGUUAGUCAAAGGAGGUACAGCUCCUUUGAAUAAAGAAACAACUUUCACAGGUGGUUAAUGAUCCCAGUAAGUUAAGGCAUAUGCCCCAGUGGGCCUAAAAGCAGCCAUCCCUAAAAAAAGCGUUAAAGCUCAAGCAUAAAACCGCCUCAUAUACCGAUAACCUAUUAAAUACCCCUAAAAUUACCAGGCCAUUUUAUUCUUAAAUAAAAGAGAUCAUGCUAAUAUGAGUAAUAAGAGACACGCUUCUCUCCCCGCACACGUGUAAAUCGAAACGGACCAACCCCCGAAAAUUAACGGUCCCAGCCCUAGAGGGCAAUAGAGUAUAAAUUAAACAACAAGAAAAACCUCUAAAUUUUUACCGUUACCCCAACACCGGCGUGCUUCCAGGAAAGACUAAAAAGAGAAGAAGGAACUCGGCAAACUCAACCUACAAGCCUCGCCUGUUUACCAAAAACAUCGCCUCUUGAAUACUUUUUAUAAGAGGUCCCGCCUGCCCUGUGACCUAGGUUUAACGGCCGCGGUAUCUUGACCGUGCAAAGGUAGCGCAAUCACUUGUCUUUUAAAUGGAGACCUGUAUGAAUGGCAAAACGAGGGCUUAACUGUCUCCUUCCCUUGGUCAAUGAAAUUGAUCUUCCCGUGCAGAAGCGGGAAUCCUUACAUAAGACGAGAAGACCCUAUGGAGCUUUAGACAAAAGUACAGACCCUGUUAAGAACUCAACAUUUAAGAAGAAAAACCAAUUGGACCCUGUAUUAAUGUUUUUGGUUGGGGCGACCACGGGGAAAAAAUCACCCCCCACGUGGAGCGAGGGCACACUAAAUACCCUUAAACCUCAGAGCUACAGCUCUAAUUAUCAGAAUAUCUGGCCUUACAGAUCCGGCAAAGCCGAUUAACGAACCGAGUUACCCUAGGGAUAACAGCGCAAUCCUCUUUUAGAGCCCAUAUCGACAAGAGGGUUUACGACCUCGAUGUUGGAUCAGGACCUCCUAAUGGUGCAGCCGCUAUUUAGGGUUCGUUUGUUCAACGAUUAAAGUCCUACGUGAUCUGAGUUCAGACCGGAGUAAUCCAGGUCAGUUUCUAUCUAUGAAGUACUCCCUCCUAGUACGAAAGGACCGGAGCGAGGAGGCCAAUGCACUAUGUACGCCUCCUUCUUACUUGAUGAUAACUACUAAAACAAGCAAAAGAACACGCUCCUUAAAGUCUAAGACUAAGACAU